RNAcentral lists this transfer RNA (89 nucleotides) under Armatimonadota bacterium. It matches the Rfam family "tRNA". From Rfam's summary of the family: Transfer RNA (tRNA) molecules are approximately 80 nucleotides in length. Their secondary structure includes four short double-helical elements and three loops (D, anti-codon, and T loops). Further hydrogen bonds mediate the characteristic L-shaped molecular structure. tRNAs have two regions of fundamental functional importance: the anti-codon, which is responsible for specific mRNA codon recognition, and the 3' end, to which the tRNAs corresponding amino acid is attached (by aminoacyl-tRNA synthetases). tRNAs cope with the degeneracy of the genetic code in two manners: having more than one tRNA (with a specific anti-codon) for a particular amino acid; and 'wobble' base-pairing, i.e. permitting non-standard base-pairing at the 3rd anti-codon position. The record is from Rfam by way of RNAcentral. Lineage: Bacteria; Bacillati; Armatimonadota.
GGAGAGAUGGCUGAGUGGACGAAAGCGGCUGCCUGCUAAGCAGUUGUGGGGGGUAACCUUCACCUCGGGUUCGAAUCCCGAUCUCUCCG